This 86-nucleotide transfer RNA is filed under the name Candidatus Cloacimonetes bacterium ADurb.Bin211. RNAcentral's name for it is "tRNA-Leu". It matches the Rfam family "tRNA". From Rfam's summary of the family: Transfer RNA (tRNA) molecules are approximately 80 nucleotides in length. Their secondary structure includes four short double-helical elements and three loops (D, anti-codon, and T loops). The record is from RNAcentral. Lineage: Bacteria; Pseudomonadati; Candidatus Cloacimonadota. RNAcentral also lists the same sequence under 4 other names.
GCGAAAGUGGCGGAAUAGGAAGACGCGCUGGACUUAGGAUCCAGUAGGGUUAACCUGUAGGGGUUCAAGUCCCCUCUUUCGCACCA